This is a long non-coding RNA of Drosophila simulans, 3878 nucleotides long. RefSeq lists it as uncharacterized. Lineage: Eukaryota; Metazoa; Arthropoda; Insecta; Diptera; Drosophilidae. The transcript is spliced from 3 exons. The record is from RefSeq and is a predicted model, not a curated record.
AACUGCAACAGCAAAAGCAACAACUGCCGACAAUUGCAACGUGCAAAAUCGUUUACAAGCCACGCCAAGUCAACUCGAGCCGCAGAAGAUUCCAAACGCCGGCGAAGAGAACGAAGUUUGGGCCAAAAUAACCAAAUCAUUGCCAUGCAAAUGGCAUCGUUUUGUGGCUGAAGUCAUCGCCAGCCUCCCCGACUUUUCCACUUUUUCCGCCAAGGAAGAGUAGUCGUGAAAGGUGGGAAAGACAUUUCCUCCUGCCACUGCCUGGAUUGCACUUUGUCCCCACUCAGCUGGUCUACACUGCAAGAUAAAUCCACAAGAAACCUUCUAUGUUCUGUUCUAUAUAUGAAAUGGCUUAUUUAACAGUAUAUAUCCGUAAUAACCAAUGUAUUUCGCUCAGUGCAGCCUUGGGGCCGGGGCAAUGUUGCAACAAUUGUUUCCCGGGCCAAUGUGUCUAUGUGUGUGUGUGUGUGUGUCUCGUCUGGGAUUGCAAGUGCAACUGCAAUUGGAAUCGCAAUCGCAAUUGCCAUGGCCAUGGCCACGGCCAGAUUAUGCAAUUGUCUGACUCGGCGUCUUCUCACCCUGCACACUGCACCCGCACCCGCACCCUGGUAAUCUGCCUCCUCCGUCUGUGUCACUAUGGCAGCCCCUGUGUGGGAUUUCAGUCACGUUUCUGGCUGCUGGUGGCGGAUGAGGAUCCGCGGAUGAGCAUCGGAUCUGGGCUGGAUCGGAAACUCGAAAACUGUUUUCGGCGCUCCUCCUCGCGAAGAAGUGUUAGGCCUGGAGGCGUCUCUCUCCACUCAGCGGGAAAUGCAGGAUCCAUUCAACGGGAGGAAUUAAACAAGCGAUUUGUCAGCGCAUUCUGGCCGCACAUACACCCGCCUGGUAACUCGCGGAAUUACUUGGCCUGGGCCACUAACUUGACACACACGACGCACGAUUAUCAUCAAUCUUGGGUUGGAGCCACAGGAAAUACAGUCUGCGACCAAGCCGAAAGAGGAAUGGGAAAGAACCGCAACAGCUGUCAUCUCGCUCACACCUAACGGAAUGCGGAUUUCCGAGAAAAGCGCAACUUGCGUUAUAUAAUUUUAUGAUUUCACAGAUAUUAAAGUUGAAACAUUGGACAUUUAAAGGCCGGGAAGUGUGCAAUAUAGCUAAGAAGUAAAUAUACUGACACACGACCCGUCCUGCAAAUGUUUAUGUUUUUGCAAGCACUUUUUUUUUCUUUUUCGAUGCUAAUUCUUGAUAUUUUCAGGCCGGUGAAUGUGCAAUAUAUUCGAAAAAAAAAAAAUAUUGACUCAUAUACCGUCCGAAAAAUGAUCUAGAAAUUUCGAUUUUUCACUGUCUUGCCGCCUAUUGCAAGGAAAAAAACUAAUUACUUUGCUCAAUGAUGAUUCUUUUUAAAGUAAUUCGGCCGUCUCAAGUGCAAUACAAGUUUAAAAAUGCAGAAUUGCCCUUGUGACGAACCAAAACGCUUUAAACUUAAUUCACAUUAUUUAUAAUAAUUUAAAAAUUUAAAUUGUUAGUAUUAGGCAGUUGCUAACAUUUUAAGGCUGUGAAAAGUGCAAUACUCAAUUUAAAAAAAACAGUAGUGCCCCAAUGCGCAGCAGAAAAUUGUUGGCUAGAUCGAUGUCCGGCAAUAUUUUUUAAACGACCACUCGCGACGACUCUCGGAAUUUGAAUGCCGGGGGCAAAGAACGCAAAAGAAGAUCCCGAAAAGGAAAAAUCAGAAAACGGGACAAUAUGGAAUGCAGAGGUUUAGAGCGGGAUGACAGUAUGAACUUCGAACUCUCAAAACAUCCAAAGUUGUUGCUUUACUCUACAACUUUCGGGAGAGAGAAUAUUCAAAAUGGCGGCAACGCGCGGAAAACGGAGGAAUUCGCGAGACAUACAUUUUUUUUAAACACAUAUGUAUUUUAAGGAAUGCUCAUUAGCCUAUAGAAUAGCAAAAAGAAUAAAUUUUUUUUUUUGCCCUUCGUUUUACUAUUCUUAGGUUAUGGCAAAUUUGAUGAAAUAUCACAUUCUUGUGUUUUUUUUCAAUCUGUGCACUUUGUGGUUAGUUUUCUGCAAAUAAGUAAAAAGCGGUUAUGCCAAGUUUGUUAAACACACAAACAUUAGCAUAACAGACUUUUUACUAUUUUGAGAUUAUGGCAAUUUGAAGUUCACAUUUUUGUCUUUUUUACUUUUGAAUCUGUACACUUCGGUGAUAGUUUCUAAAAAUAUAUUAAGUAUAUUUCGCAUAUUUUGCAAAAAAAAAAACACACAAAAUAGCGCAUCAUACUAAUAUAAUUUUAGAAAAAAAUUUAUGUUCAUUAGCUUAUAAUAUAUUUUUUUUUGCCCUUCGUUUUACUAUUUUGAUUUUAUGGCAAAUUUGAUGAGAUAUCACAUUUUUGUUUUUUUUUUUCGUUCUGUACACGUCGGUGUUAGUUUUCUAAAAAUAAGUAAAAGUCGGUUAUACGGUUUUGUAAAACACACAAAAAAAGGCAUAACAGACUUUUUACUAUUUUGAGAUUAUGGCAAUUUGAUGAAAUUCACAUUAUUGUCUUUUUUUUUAAUUUGUACACUUCGGUGGUAGGGGGAUAGUUUUCAAAAAAUAUAUUAAGCAUGUUACACAGAUUUUGUAAAACACACAAAAUAGAAUAACAUACUUAUAUAAUUUUAGAAAAAACGAAGUUUUAAUGAAUGCUCGUUAGCUUAUAGAAUAGCAAACAGAAAAUAAGUAAAAGUCUAAUAUGCGAAUUUUGUAAAACACACGAAAAAAGCAUAACAGGUUUUUUAUUAUUUUGAGAUUAUGUCAAUUUGAUGAAAUUCACAAUUAUGUCGUUUGUUUUAAUCUGUACACUUCGGUGUGAGUUUUCUAAAAAUAUAUUAGGCAUGUUACACCGAUUUUGUAAAACACACAAAAUGGGGCUAGCAUACCUCAAUAUUUUUAGAAGAAAGUUGAGUGGCGGAUUUCAAAUGCAAAACCAAAAUUUUCCAAACUUCAACUUUAAUACGACGUUAAAAUAAAUAUUAAUAGAUGUAGUUGGGAAAAGCCUGAAACUGCAGUGAUAUUUUUGAUAUACCCCGCAGGUAAGUUUCUCAAAGGGCUUGGUUCCAAAAAAGGGUACUAUACAACAAAAAUUACACCUCUCUGAAACCAGGCACUUGCGAAAAUCAUGUCUAGAUUCCUCAACAUUUUAAUUGCCUUACCAGGAGAGCUAAGCUCCUUCUCCGUCGACGGUCAAAUCGAAAAGAACGGACUGCAGAAUUUCAUUGUAAUCGAAACCUUGGUGACAGUGUUAGAAGAUGACCAAACUAAUGUAGGCAAUAAGAGUGUUUCUGUGUGUGUGGGAAAACGCUCAAUUUGACUAAUACACCAAUAACAUAACCUCACUUUGAAGAGUCAAUGUCCUUACUGCCUUAAAAUUUAACUGCUAAUCUGUAUAAUAAGUACAGUCGCACAUGGGAAAUGAAAACCCAUCUGUUAAAAAAAAUCUUUGUCUUAUAUGAGUAGUUACUUUUUGAUGAAGCACUAACAAAAAUUCGGUUUAUUUUUACACUAAUACCAUUCCGUUGAUUUAUACUACACAGUCAAGUAUGUAUGGGAGUGUGUAAGCAGAGAGCGAUUCUAAGAAAUCACUCAAAAAAUACAUGCAUGCAUACAUACGUAGGCAAAAAACUUCGCAUUUUUGCUAAUAAAUAGCAUUUUUUUAUUGAGAAAAAACGAUGCAUUUUAUGAAAUAACUUGACUCAACUUUAAAAGACAUUUUGCCGCCAAUACCAACAAUUAUUUGUUAAUAUUAUCAGCUUAUUGCAAUGCUAAUUUAAUUAAAAUAAAAUGUGAAAUUUAUGCAAAAUUCAUAUGUACAUAUGUACAUUAAUGAAUAUGCAGAUUUUAA